UAGAGUUUGAUCCUGGCUCAGGCAUGAACGCUGGCGGCGUGCUUAACACAUGCAAGUCGAACGAACCUUCGGGUUAGUGGCGGACGGGUGAGUAACGCGUGAGAAUCUGCCCUCAGGAGGGGGGUAACGGUUGGAAACGACCGCUAAUACCCCAUAUGCCUACUGGUGAAAUGAAUUUCGCCUGAGGAUGAGCUCGCGUCUGAUUAGCUAGUUGGUGAGGUAAUGGCUCACCAAGGCUUCGAUCAGUAGCUGGUCUGAGAGGAUGAUCAGCCACACUGGGACUGAGACACGGCCCAGACUCCUACGGGAGGCAGCAGUGGGGAAUUUUCCGCAAUGGGCGAAAGCCUGACGGAGCAACGCCGCGUGAGGGACGAAGGCCUCUGGGCUGUAAACCUCUUUUCUCAAGGAAGAAGAUAUGACGGUACUUAAGGAAUAAGCCACGGCUAAUUCCGUGCCAGCAGCCGCGGUAAUACGGGAGUGGCAAGCGUUAUCCGGAAUUAUUGGGCGUAAAGCGUCCGCAGGCGGCUUUUCAAGUCUGCUGUUAAAGCGUGGAGCUUAACUCCAUCAUGGCAGUGGAAACUGAAAGGCUUGAGUAUGGUAGGGGCAGAGGGAAUUCCCGGUGUAGCGGUGAAAUGCGUAGAUAUCGGGAAGAACACCAGUGGCGAAGGCGCUCUGCUGGGCCAUUACUGACGCUCAUGGACGAAAGCCAGGGGAGCGAAAGGGAUUAGAUACCCCUGUAGUCCUGGCCGUAAACGAUGAACACUAGGUGUCGGGGGAAUCGACCCCUUCGGUGUCGUAGCUAACGCGUUAAGUGUUCCGCCUGGGGAGUACGCACGCAAGUGUGAAACUCAAAGGAAUUGACGGGGGCCCGCACAAGCGGUGGAGUAUGUGGUUUAAUUCGAUGCAACGCGAGGAACCUUACCAGGGUUUGACAUCCUGCGAACCUCUUAGAAAUUUGAGGGUGCCUUCGGGAAUGCAGUGACAGGUGGUGCAUGGCUGUCGUCAGCUCGUGUCGUGAGAUGUUGGGUUAAGUCCCGCAACGAGCGCAACCCACGUUUUUAGUUGCCAGCAUUUAGUUGGGCACUCUAGAAAGACCGCCGGUGAUAAACCGGAGGAAGGUGUGGAUGACGUCAAGUCAUCAUGCCCCUUACACCCUGGGCUACACACGUACUACAAUGCUACGGACAAAGGGCAGCAAACUCGCGAGAGCUAGCAAAUCCCAUAAACCGUGGCUCAGUUCAGAUCGUAGGCUGCAACUCGCCUACGUGAAGUAGGAAUCGCUAGUAAUCGCAGGUCGGCAUACUGCGGUGAAUACGUUCCCGGGCCUUGUACACACCGCCCGUCACACCAUGGAAGUUGGCCAUGCCGAAGUCGUUACUCCAACCCUUGUGGAGGAGGACGCCGAAGGUGGGGCUAAUGACUGGGGUGAAGUCGUAACAAGGUAACC
This 1447-nucleotide ribosomal RNA is filed under the name uncultured bacterium. RNAcentral's name for it is "bacterial SSU rRNA". It matches the Rfam family "Bacterial small subunit ribosomal RNA". The record is from RNAcentral.